This 687-nucleotide ribosomal RNA is filed under the name uncultured Staphylococcus sp. RNAcentral describes it as "bacterial SSU rRNA". It matches the Rfam family "Bacterial small subunit ribosomal RNA", at positions 66 to 736 of the family's 1533-position model. The record is from RNAcentral. Lineage: Bacteria; Bacillati; Bacillota; Bacilli; Caryophanales; Staphylococcaceae.
GCGAACGGACGAGAAGCUUGCUUCUCUGAUGUUAGCGGCGGACGGGUGAGUAACACGUGGAUAACCUACCUAUAAGACUGGGAUAACUUCGGGAAACCGGAGCUAAUACCGGAUAAUAUUUUGAACCGCAUGGUUCAAAAGUGAAAGACGGUCUUGCUGUCACUUAUAGAUGGAUCCGCGCUGCAUUAGCUGGUUGGUAAGGUAACGGCUUACCAAGGCAACGAUGCAUAGCCGACCUGAGAGGGUGAUCGGCCACACUGGAACUGAGACACGGUCCAGACUCCUACGGGAGGCAGCAGUAGGGAAUCUUCCGCAAUGGGCGAAAGCCUGACGGAGCAACGCCGCGUGAGUGAUGAAGGUCUUCGGAUCGUAAAACUCUGUUAUUAGGGAAGAACAUAUGUGUAAGUAACUGUGCACAUCUUGACGGUACCUAAUCAGAAAGCCACGGCUAACUACGUGCCAGCAGCCGCGUAAUACGUAGGUGGCAAGCGUUAUCCGGAAUUAUUGGGCGUAAAGCGCGCGUAGGCGGUUUUUUAAGUCUGAUGUGAAAGCCCACGGCUCAACCGUGGAGGGUCAUUGGAAACUGGAAAACUUGAGUGCAGAAGAGGAAAGUGGAAUUCCAUGUGUAGCGGUGAAAUGCGCAGAGAUAUGGAGGAACACCAGUGGCGAAGGCGACUUUCUGGUCUG